This 85-nucleotide transfer RNA is filed under the name Patescibacteria group bacterium. RNAcentral describes it as "tRNA-Leu". It matches the Rfam family "tRNA". Rfam says of the family: Transfer RNA (tRNA) molecules are approximately 80 nucleotides in length. Their secondary structure includes four short double-helical elements and three loops (D, anti-codon, and T loops). Further hydrogen bonds mediate the characteristic L-shaped molecular structure. tRNAs have two regions of fundamental functional importance: the anti-codon, which is responsible for specific mRNA codon recognition, and the 3' end, to which the tRNAs corresponding amino acid is attached (by aminoacyl-tRNA synthetases). tRNAs cope with the degeneracy of the genetic code in two manners: having more than one tRNA (with a specific anti-codon) for a particular amino acid; and 'wobble' base-pairing, i.e. permitting non-standard base-pairing at the 3rd anti-codon position. The record is from RNAcentral.
GCCCAGGUGGCGGAACUUGGUAGACGCGCUGCCUUGAGGGGGCAGUAACCGCAAGGUUGUGCGGGUUCAAAUCCCGCCCUGAGCA